GCGGCAUUAGCUCAAUUGGAUAGAGUACCUGACUUCGAAUCAGUUGGUUGCAGGUUCGAGUCCUGCAUGCCGCGCCA
This 77-nucleotide transfer RNA is filed under the name Bacillota bacterium. Its description in RNAcentral is "tRNA-Arg". It matches the Rfam family "tRNA". From Rfam's summary of the family: Transfer RNA (tRNA) molecules are approximately 80 nucleotides in length. Their secondary structure includes four short double-helical elements and three loops (D, anti-codon, and T loops). RNAcentral also lists the same sequence under 1 other name. The record is from RNAcentral. Lineage: Bacteria; Bacillati; Bacillota.